GUUUGCUCAGCCCUGACAUUCCUCUAAUGUGUGAGGUGGAAUCCCAGAUUUAAAAGUAAACCUUGGGGCUUAAGUGUGCGUUGGUACCAGAGCAGGCCACUCAGUAGGGAACGCCGUUUAGGGCAUCCAUGCAUAAGAGGCAAAGGAGAGGGCACAGGUUAAAACUCUUUGCAAGAAAUGUGGGAAAGAAGACAGCCUUUUGCAAGUCAGCGUGAAACUGGAGUUUAAAGGAAGGCUGAACAAAUGGAAAGAAAAUGGAAAAAUAAACCGAAGGAGAUGCUUUAAAAAUACAGUGGGUAGGAAAGAAUCAGCACCUUUUAAAAUUAUCACAUUUUGUUGCUUUGCAGCCUGAAAUAAAGACGGACAGUUUUUGUUUUCCAACUGUAUGUACUCAGUGCAACUUAUAACACCCAAGAGAAAGAUAAAACACCAACAUGUCAGAAAAAAAAAACAAAAAAAUAAAAAUAAAAACUAGAAUCUCAGAGUUGAUAACUGGAUCACUCCCUUGUGUCAGUAUUUUGAUGAAGCACAUUUUGCUUUAAUUACAGCCUUUAUUCUGUUGGGAUUUGUCUCUGCUAACAUUGCAGUAUUUGCCCGCUCUCCUCUGCAGAACUGCUCAAGUUCAGUUCAAUCUGAUGGGGAGUGUUUGUGGACUGCAGUCUUCAGUUCAUUCCUCAGAUGUUCAGUGGGGUUUCAGUCUGAGCUCUGACGAGACCAUGGAAGACAUUCAGCUUCUUCUCCUUCAACCACUGUGUGUUAGUUUUGCUGUGUGCUUUGGGUCAUUCUCAUGUUGGAAGUGCUCCAGUCGCUGCUGCAGAGAAACACCCAGAACAGGACAUCACCUCCUCAUGCUUUACUGCAGGAAUGCUGUUAUCUGGAUGCUGAGCUGGACUGGAUCUCCACCAGACAUAUCAGUUGGUGUUUAGGCCAAAUAAUUCAGUUUUAGUCUCAUCUGCCUCAGAAUCUUCAAGGUGUGUUUUGGCAAAGCUCAGUCUGACUGUACGUGGUCUUUCUUGAGGAGCGGCUUUUUUCUAUUUAAGCCACAUUUGUGGAGAAUCUGUGAUGUUGUUGUCUCAUGCACACAAUGAUCACUCUUGUUAUAAACUCC
Cyprinus carpio carpio is the source of this 1108-nucleotide long non-coding RNA. Lineage: Eukaryota; Metazoa; Chordata; Actinopteri; Cypriniformes; Cyprinidae. The record is from Ensembl.